UCAAAGGCCCUUUUCAGGGCCGCCCACGUUUGCAGUAAAAGGGCUG
Molecule: non-coding RNA, 46 nt
Organism: Cricetulus griseus (Chinese hamster)
Lineage: Eukaryota; Metazoa; Chordata; Mammalia; Rodentia; Cricetidae
Source: Rfam